GACGAACGCUGGCGGCGUGCUUAACACAUGCAAGUCGAACGGAAAGGCCUCUUUCGGGGGGUACUCGAGUGGCGAACGGGUGAGUAACACGUGAGUAACCUGCCCUUGACUUUGGGAUAACUUCAGGAAACUGGGGCUAAUACCGGAUAGGAGCUCCUGCUGCAUGGUGGGGGUUGGAAAGUUUCGGCGGUUGGGGAUGGACUCGCGGCUUAUCAGCUUGUUGGUGGGGUAGUGGCUUACCAAGGCUUUGACGGGUAGCCGGCCUGAGAGGGUGACCGGCCACAUUGGGACUGAGAUACGGCUCAGACUCCUACGGGAGGCAGCAGUGGGGAAUAUUGCACAAUGGGUGGAAGCCUGAUGCAGCAACGCCGUGUGCGGGAUGACGGCCUUCGGGUUGUAAACCGCUUUCGCUCAUGACGAAGCUUUGUGUGACGGUAGUGGGUAAAGAAGCACCGGCUAACUACGUG
RNAcentral lists this ribosomal RNA (467 nucleotides) under uncultured bacterium. RNAcentral describes it as "partial 16S ribosomal RNA". It matches the Rfam family "Bacterial small subunit ribosomal RNA", at positions 28 to 507 of the family's 1533-position model. The record is from RNAcentral.